CAGCCAUUAAGCGAUAGACAAAAGUGAACGUGCUGAGGAUGGCAACAAAAAUGGAUGGAAAGAGUCUGGGUCACUGAUGACACUGUUUAGCCUCGGACAACCAUCUACCUCUAAACUUCUUGUAGGAAAAGCCAUCGACUGAUAAAGUAUUGUCGUUCACAGAUUUGUUGGCAGUGGUGGGAUCCAAAGCAAACUUAUGAUGGCAUUCGGGGACAACAAGAAACACAGGCGUGGUGCCCCACAAGCCCUUUUGAGUUCACUGUUGUUCCCGCCGUUUCUGAAGGCCAUUGGAUUCAUUAUCAAAUCACUGGCCCAGAAAUUGAUGUCUCCAUUGCAAUCAACUGGGGACACUGGAAGACAGAUUGUCCUCAAAAGCCCUGUGUGAAUUCUUCAACAUCAACUCCAAUGCACCUGUAUGGACUCCUCCUAGAAUUGAUGAAACUCAGGAAUUUUUGACCUCACCUAUUCCUCUCAAAAUGCUUGAAAAGAUCAGGACAUUGGAAACAGAAUCGUCCUGAGCUUACUCUAUGCCUUUGUGAUAUAGAUUUUCUACCCCC
Long non-coding RNA from Balaenoptera musculus (blue whale), 557 nucleotides. RefSeq lists it as uncharacterized. The transcript has 5 exons. The record is from RefSeq and is a predicted model, not a curated record. NCBI's taxonomy places the organism in Eukaryota, Metazoa, Chordata, Mammalia, Artiodactyla, Balaenopteridae.